RNAcentral lists this ribosomal RNA (292 nucleotides) under uncultured bacterium. RNAcentral describes it as "partial 16S ribosomal RNA". It matches the Rfam family "Bacterial small subunit ribosomal RNA", at positions 505 to 796 of the family's 1533-position model. The record is from RNAcentral.
GUGUCAGCAGCCGCGGUAAGACGUAGGAGGCGAGCGUUGUCCGGAUUCAUUGGGCGUAAAGAGCGCGCAGGCGGCUCGGUCAGUCGGAUGUGAAAACCCGGGGCUCAACCCCGGGCAUGCAUCCGAUACUGCCGAGCUAGAGGUAGGUAGGGGAGAUCGGAAUUCCUGGUGUAGCGGUGAAAUGCGCAGAUAUCAGGAGGAACACCGGUGGCGAAGGCGGAUCUCUGGGCCUUACCUGACGCUCAGGCGCGAAAGCUAGGGGAGCGAACAGGAUUAGAUACCCCGGUAGUCC